GCCUAGUUAGCUUGGUUGGUAGAGCGCCUGCCUUGUAAGCGCUAGGCCGCGGGUUCGAUUCCCACCCGGGGCG
RNAcentral lists this transfer RNA (73 nucleotides) under Diaphorina citri (Asian citrus psyllid). It matches the Rfam family "tRNA". Rfam says of the family: Transfer RNA (tRNA) molecules are approximately 80 nucleotides in length. Lineage: Eukaryota; Metazoa; Arthropoda; Insecta; Hemiptera; Psyllidae. The record is from Rfam by way of RNAcentral.